RNAcentral lists this ribosomal RNA (484 nucleotides) under uncultured bacterium. Its description in RNAcentral is "partial 16S ribosomal RNA". It matches the Rfam family "Bacterial small subunit ribosomal RNA", at positions 30 to 507 of the family's 1533-position model. The record is from RNAcentral.
AUUGAACGCUGGCGGCAGGCCUAACACAUGCAAGUCGAGCGGAUGAAGGGAGCUUGCUCCUGGAUUCAGCGGCGGACGGGUGAGUAAUGCCUAGGAAUCUGCCUGGUAGUGGGGGAUAACGUCCGGAAACGGGCGCUAAUACCGCAUACGUCCUGAGGGAGAAAGUGGGGGAUCUUCGGACCUCACGCUAUCAGAUGAGCCUAGGUAGGAUUAGCUAGUUGGUGGGGUAAAGGCCUACCAAGGCGACGAUCCGUAACUGGUCUGAGAGGAUGAUCAGUCACACUGGAACUGAGACACGGUCCAGACUCUUACGGGAGGCAGCAGUGGGGAAUAUUGGACAAUGGGCGAAAGCCUGAUCCAGCCAUGCCGCGUGUGUGAAGAAGGUCUUCGGAUUGUAAAGCACUUUAAGUUGGGAGGAAGGGCAGUAAGUUAAUACCUUGCUGUUUUGACGUUACCAACAGAAUAAGCACCGGCUAACUUCGUG